Molecule: ribosomal RNA, 482 nt
Filed under: uncultured bacterium
Lineage: Bacteria
Description: bacterial SSU rRNA
Rfam family: Bacterial small subunit ribosomal RNA
Source: RNAcentral
ACGAACGCUGGCGGCGUGCUUAACACAUGCAAGUCGAGCGGAAAGGCUCCUUCGGGGGUACUCGAGCGGCGAACGGGUGAGUAACACGUGAGUAAUCUGCCCUGCGCUCUGGGAUAGCCACCGGAAACGGUGAUUAAUACCGGAUAUGACAUGUCCCUGCAUGGGGGUGUGUGGAAAGUUUUUUCGGCGCAGGAUGUGCUCGCGGCCUAUCAGCUUGUUGGUGAGGUAAUGGCUCACCAAGGCUUUGACGGGUAACCGGCCUGAGAGGGUGACCGGUCACACUGGGACUGAGACACGGCCCAGACUCCUACGGGAGGCAGCAGUGGGGAAUAUUGGACAAUGGGCGGAAGCCUGAUCCAGCAACGCCGCGUGAGGGAUGACGGCCUUCGGGUUGUAAACCUCUUUCAGUACCGACGAAGCGAAAGUGACGGUAGGUACAGAAGAAGGACCGGCCAACUACGUGCCAGCAGCCGCGGUAAAAC